GGCUUCGUAGCUCAGGUGGUAGAGCACCUGCCGCGUUGAGGCUUGAUGUUUCUGUCGCUGGUUCUAAUCCAGCUGAGGCCC
This is a non-coding RNA of Paragonimus heterotremus, 81 nucleotides long. The record is from the annotation of a GenBank genome assembly. NCBI's taxonomy places the organism in Eukaryota, Metazoa, Platyhelminthes, Trematoda, Plagiorchiida, Troglotrematidae.